CUACGGGUUGUUUUUUUGGGGGGGGGGGAAAAAGUGUUAAUUUGCUUUUUCUUGGUCAAAAAUUCAAAUUUUUUAAUUUUUUUUUUCUUUUUUUGGGGGGGUUAUUUAUUAAUUUGUUUGUUUAUGUAUUUAUUUAUUAAUUUGUUUAUGUAUUUAUUUAAUUUUUUGGGGGGGUGGAGCCCCCAGAUUUUGGGCAGGAGUUGGACACUUUGGGCAAGCACCAAAUUUUGGGGGUUUAUUUCCUUCCCCUCACUCAAUAAUUCAAUUUUUAAUUUUUUUUUUUUAUUUUUUUUGGGGGGGUUAUUUAUUAAUUUAUUCGUUUAUGUAUUUAUUUAUUAAUUUGUUUAUGUAUUUAUUUAAUUUUGGGGGGGGUGGAGCCCCCAGAUUUUGAGGAGGGAGGGGGUGAUUCAGGCAGCGCCCAAACUCCGUCGGGAUGAAAUUUUGGGGCUGGAUUUUGGUAAUUUUUUUGGGGAGAAAAGCCCCCAAAUUGGGGGUCAUGAUUUGAGGGGGGGGACACAAAAUUGAAGCUCCACCGGGAUGAAAUUUGGGGGGAAAAGACCCUAAAAAAGCCCCCCCCCCCCAANNNNNNNNNNNNNNNNNNNNNNNNNNNNNNNNNCAUCGGUUUUGGAAUAUUUUUGCCUUUUUUUUUGACAUUUUUGCUUGUUUCCGCCUUUUUU
Molecule: long non-coding RNA, 677 nt
Filed under: Calidris pugnax (ruff)
Lineage: Eukaryota; Metazoa; Chordata; Aves; Charadriiformes; Scolopacidae
Description: lncRNA (ENSCPUG00000001145.1)
Source: RNAcentral